Molecule: transfer RNA, 89 nt
Filed under: compost metagenome
Description: tRNA-Asp
Source: RNAcentral
UCGCCGUUUCGUUAACGGAGCUUCAGGAGAUAUCUGCUCUUCAGUCGGAGGAGCUUAGCCGGUAUUUGUUCCAUGCAGGUAUUGGCGGU